GGACAAGAGGGUAAAGAGUUCACAUUUUAAAAAUAAAAUAAUGUAUUUGGUGCUGCGAGGUUGAUGCACAUAAAUAACUGAAGUAAUUGUUAAAAAUGCUGUAGAAAUAUAUUUUGAUUGCUGGUAAAACAUGGAAACUCAGAUUUGAAUGUGGUAUUUGCUUAAUAUGAGUAGUUCUCCUGGGAUAAAAUUUUAUUCGUCUGUUCUACCUGCGGUAGAUGCUAUUUUUUCCACAUGGAUGUGACAUGUUUAGAUGUUGGGACACCUUCCAUAUGGCAAAUAACUGCCUGCCAAUUUGUUAUGUUAGGAUGUGCCAAGUUUUGGUGCUGCUGCCGCAACACUUAGUGUUUUGCUUCUCAUACUCAUGAUGUUAGGAUUAGAGAUAGGAAUAGGAGUUGAUGGUUAGCUUUUCUUUCCAGGAAAGUAGCUGGUUGGGAAGGUGACUAUUUGUACCUCUCAUAAUCUUCUUUCAUUGUAGAAAUUAUUCCCUGUAUCGUGUGUCAUUCUUCCAGUCAUGGUCUUCUCUGUUGUUUAAGUCAUUCUUGUGCUGUCAUGCUUCUAAAAUUUAUAAGAUUAUGGUUUCUGCUAAGAGUGUUACCUUCCAAUAUACU
This 611-nucleotide unclassified non-coding RNA is filed under the name Hevea brasiliensis (rubber tree). The record is from RNAcentral. Lineage: Eukaryota; Viridiplantae; Streptophyta; Magnoliopsida; Malpighiales; Euphorbiaceae.